UCGAGCGAGAAAGGGUCGCAAGACCUGAGUAAAGCGGCGCACGGGUGCGUAACACGUGGGUAAUCUGCCUCCGAGACCGGAAUAACUCUUCGAAAGGAGAACUAAUACCGGGUAAGCCCACGGCUCCUUCGGGAGCUGUGGGAAAAGAUGGCCUCUGUAUACAAGCUAUCGCUUGGAGAUGAGCCCGCGGCCCAUCAUGCUAGUUGGCGGGGUAACGGCCCACCAAGGCUACGACGGGUAGCUGGUCUGAGAGGACGAUCAGCCACACUGGAACUGAGACACGGUCCAGACUCCUACGGGAGGCAGCAGUGGGGAAUCUUGCGCAAUGGGCGAAAGCCUGACGCAGCAACGCCGCGUGAGUGAUGAAGGCCUUCGGGUCGUAAAGCUCUUUCGGAAGGGACGAAACCGUCUCGGGAUAAUACCCCGAGGCCUUGACGGUACCUUAAGAAGAAGCACCGGCUAACUCUGUGCCAGCAGCCGCGGUAAUACAGAGGGUGCAAGCGUUGUUCGGAAUUAUUGGGCGUAAAGCGCGUGUAGGCGGCAAGGCAUGUCGGGUGUGAAAGCCCUCGGCUUAACCGAGGAAGUGCGCCCGAAACUACUUUGCUUGAGUACCGGAGAGGAUGGCGGAAUUCCCGGUGUAGAGGUGAAAUUCGUAGAUAUCGGGAGGAACACCAGUGGCGAAGGCGGCCAUCUGGACGGAUACUGACGCUGAGACGCGAAAGCGUGGGGAGCAAACAGGAUUAGAUACCCUGGUAGUCCACGCUGUAAACGAUGGGCGCUAGGUGUCGCGGGUGUUGACCCCUGCGGUGCCGUAGCUAACGCAUUAAGCGCCCCGCCUGGGAAGUACGGCCGUAAGGCUAAAACUCAAAGGAAUG
This 875-nucleotide ribosomal RNA is filed under the name uncultured bacterium. Its description in RNAcentral is "bacterial SSU rRNA". It matches the Rfam family "Bacterial small subunit ribosomal RNA", at positions 62 to 911 of the family's 1533-position model. The record is from RNAcentral.